GGGGGGCUGGCGCAACGGUAGCGCGUCAGAUUCCAGAUCUAACCCCUGGAGCAUCCUGAAGGUUACCGGUUCAAAUCCGGUGUCCCUCA
This is a non-coding RNA of Claviceps citrina, 89 nucleotides long. NCBI's taxonomy places the organism in Eukaryota, Fungi, Ascomycota, Sordariomycetes, Hypocreales, Clavicipitaceae. The record is from the annotation of a GenBank genome assembly.